RNAcentral lists this ribosomal RNA (254 nucleotides) under uncultured bacterium. Its description in RNAcentral is "partial 16S ribosomal RNA". It matches the Rfam family "Bacterial small subunit ribosomal RNA", at positions 524 to 776 of the family's 1533-position model. The record is from RNAcentral.
UACCGAGGGUGCGAGCGUUGUUCGGAAUUACUGGGCGUAAAGCGCGCGCAGGCGGCCUUUUACGUCUCGUGGUGAAAUGCCGGGGCUCAACCCCGUGCCCGCCGGAGAUACUGGGAGGCUGGAGACAUGUAGAGGCAAGCGGAAUUCCGGGUGUAGCGGUGGAAUGCGUAGAGAUCCGGAAGAACACCGGAGGCGAAGGCGGCUUGCUGGGCAUUGUCUGACGCUGAGGCGCGAAAGCGUGGGGAGCGAACAGG